AGCAGCCGCGGUAAUUCCAGCUCCAAUAGCGUAUAUUAAAGUUGUUGCAGUUAAAAAGCUCGUAGUUGAAUUUCGAGAUCAAUUUGUUGGUCGUGCCUCGGUACGUACUGGCAAUUUUGAUUUCUCCCUUCUGAAGAACCAUGAUGUCAUUAAUUUGGUGUCAUGGGGAAUCAGGACCGUUACUUUGAAAAAAUUAGAGUGUUUAAAGCAGGCUCGCGCUUGAAUACAUUAGCAUGGAAUAAUGAAAUAGGACGUUUGAUUCUAUUUUGUUGGUUUCUAGGAUCGACGUAAUGAUUAAUAGGGAUAGUUGGGGGCAUUAGUAUUCAAUUGUCAGAGGUGAAAUUCUUGGAUUUAUUGAAGACUAACUACUGCGAAAGCAUUUGCCAAGGAUGUUUUCAUUAAUCAAGAACGAAAGUUAGGGGAUCGAAGACGAUCAGAUACCGUCGUAGUCUUAACCAUAAACUAUGCCGACUAGGGAUCGGAUGAUGUUAAUUUUUAAUGACUCAUUCGGCGCCUUAAC
This 520-nucleotide ribosomal RNA is filed under the name uncultured Glomus. RNAcentral's name for it is "SSU rRNA". It matches the Rfam family "Eukaryotic small subunit ribosomal RNA", at positions 569 to 1092 of the family's 1831-position model. Lineage: Eukaryota; Fungi; Glomeromycota; Glomeromycetes; Glomerales; Glomeraceae. The record is from RNAcentral.